RNAcentral lists this ribosomal RNA (500 nucleotides) under uncultured bacterium. RNAcentral's name for it is "partial 16S ribosomal RNA". It matches the Rfam family "Bacterial small subunit ribosomal RNA", at positions 30 to 523 of the family's 1533-position model. The record is from RNAcentral.
AUUGAACGCUGGCGGCAUGCCUUACACAUGCAAGUCGAACGGCAGCACGGGAGCAAUCCUGGUGGCGAGUGGCGAACGGGUGAGUAAUGUAUCGGAACGUGCCCAGUCGUGGGGGAUAACGUAGCGAAAGCUACGCUAAUACCGCAUACGAUCUAUGGAUGAAAGCGGGGGAUCGCAAGACCUCGCGCGAUUGGAGCGGCCGAUAUCAGAUUAGGUAGUUGGUGGGGUAAAGGCUCACCAAGCCGACGAUCUGUAGCUGGUCUGAGAGGACGACCGGCAACACUGGGACUGAGAAACGGCCCAGACUCCUACGGGAGGCAGCAGUGGGGAAUUUUGGACAAUGGGCGCAAGCCUGAUCCAGCAAUGCCGCGUGCAGGAUGAAGGCCUUCGGGUUGUAAACUGCUUCUGUACGGAACGAAACGGCGAGCUCUAAUACAGUUUGCUAAUGACGGUACCGUAAGAAUAAGCACCGGCUAACUACGUGCCAGCCGCCGCGGUAA